RNAcentral lists this ribosomal RNA (216 nucleotides) under Glomeromycotina sp. Its description in RNAcentral is "partial small subunit ribosomal RNA". The stretch from base 40 to 216 matches the Rfam family "Eukaryotic small subunit ribosomal RNA", at positions 686 to 864 of the family's 1831-position model. The record is from RNAcentral. Lineage: Eukaryota; Fungi; Glomeromycota.
GGGUCUGGAGGUUGGUCGUGCCACAGGUACGUACUGGUCUCACUGAUUCCUCCUUCCUGAAGAACCGUAAUGCCAUUAAUUUGGUGUUGCGGGGAAACAGGACUGUUACUUUGAAAAAAUUAGAGUGUUUAAAGCAAGCUAACGCUUGAAUACAUUAGCAUGGAAUAAUGAAAUAGGACGAUCGAUCCUAUUUUGUUGGUUUCUAGGAUUGACGUA